GUUUAAAAAAAACUUUACAUUUUCAUUGUAAAAAUAAAAAAAUUUUUUUUAUAAAUA
This 57-nucleotide transfer RNA is filed under the name Athyma cama (orange staff sergeant). Its description in RNAcentral is "tRNA-Glu". The record is from RNAcentral. Lineage: Eukaryota; Metazoa; Arthropoda; Insecta; Lepidoptera; Nymphalidae.